ACGCACGCUGGCGGCAUGCCUCAUCCCUGCCAGUCGAACGAGAUCUUCGGAUCUAGUGGCGCACGGGUGCGUCACGCGUGGGAAUCUGCCCUUGGGUUCGGAAUAACUUCUGGAAACGGAAGCUAAUACCGGAUGAUGACGUAAGUCCAAAGAUUUAUCGCCCAAGGAUGAGCCCGCGUAGGAUUAGGUAGUUGGUGAGGUAAAGGCUCACCAAGCCGACGAUCCUUAGCUGGUCUGAGAGGAUGAUCAGCCACACUGGGACUGAGACACGGCCCAGACUCCUACGGGAGGCAGCAGUAGGGAAUAUUGGACAAUGGGCGAAAGCCUGAUCCAGCAAUGCCGCGUGAGUGAUGAAGGCCUUAGGGUUGUAAAGCUCUUUUACCCGGGAUGAUAAUGACAGUACCGGGAGAAUAAGCGCCGGCUAACUCCGUG
This 432-nucleotide ribosomal RNA is filed under the name uncultured bacterium. RNAcentral's name for it is "partial 16S ribosomal RNA". It matches the Rfam family "Bacterial small subunit ribosomal RNA", at positions 29 to 507 of the family's 1533-position model. The record is from RNAcentral.